GGGAACUCAGAAACUCAGCUAACUAGAAAUGGCAGAGUCAAGAUUCAAACUUCCGCUUUUGUGGCUUUUCUCAUCGCUACCUGCUGUAUCAGCCAGGAAUCAUUCCAUGAAAAUUUCCUGGUGAAUGGCCAAGAUGUGUUCCUUCAUAAUUCUCUGAAGAGAUAUGUGUUCAAGCACUUGAGAAAGUACCUCUUAAUCACGUCAGGGUAUUGACAUUGAUUAAAAAAAAUGGAACUUGAACAAAGGUAACAGAUACAGGCAUUUUAGAUGUCAUGUAUUCUUGGUCAAGUAGUAUCCAGUCAGAACACACUAGGUAAGAGGUCAAUUUUCUGUGAAGGAAAAGGAAACUAUGAUGUGCUGGUGGGGAUAACCAGGUAUGGUUAGAGGGUUCUGCAAUGUUCUAGAAUGACUUUGGUGGCACCACCUGUCCCCAUGUCUAUGAAAACAACUUCCCUCUCUAAGAGGAGUUCAUUAUGCCUAAGGUUAGUCAUUGGUUCUCAUUUCAAAAUCUCCUGAGGUGGGCUGCGGCCUCUGAAGCAAAUAUGCUAGAGGAUGGGAGAUUAGAACAUAGUUUAUGUUUCAAUUUUUGAAACUUCACCAUCUUGUUCCCAGUUGGCUUCACACAAACAACUGUUUUACUCAAACAGUCUCCAGUCUUUUACUUUCUGAAAAGGGAAGUUUUUGUUGAUGUUUCAUUUCAUUCUCUUGAAAUCAAUUAGAGAAGAAACAAAACAUGAUUUUCCCUCAAUGAGCCUUUUUCUUUCCCUGUAAGAGCUGAUUCACAUUUCUGCUGUUGCCAUGAUAAUUCCAUAGAACAAGGUAACUCACUUUUCCCAUUUAGUCCUCUCACGUGUACCAUCUUUGGCCAAGUGUCCACUCAGUCAAUUUUCCUCCAAUUAUCUGUUCAUCCAUCCCUUCACUGACUCAUUAAUUCAGUCAGUCAUUGCUUAUCAUUCAACUUUCACUCUAUUUGUAUUUCAUUGAAAUCUUUUAUAAAAACACCCAUAAUUAAAGUGGCCUAUGUUUUUCAUGUGCAUGUAUUUAUUUCUUAUACUAUAAUAAUAAAAAGUAUAUUAUGAAAAAUUUACAAUGUACAAGCUCGUAGAUACCCUGAUGGUGAGAGUAUAAAUUGAUGUACACUCAUAAAAGGCAAUUUGGCAAUGCCUUUCAAAUUUAUAAUACACCUACUUUAUGACCCAGUGAAUCCAUUAGCAGUAACUCAACCUAAAUACAUAUUUACAUGUAUAGGCAAAGACAUGAAUAAAGAUGAAAAUAGAAGUGUCGUUGAGCUACAGGUAACUUAAAACUUUACCAAUAGCAGUCUGAUAAAAAUAGCUUCCUAUGUUCUUUCAAGACUAUUUUUAAGCUCAAGUAUUUCCCUAGUCUUUUUCCUUCAAUAUUAAUUCUGUGUAUUUAUUGAAAUUGACAACAGAUGACUUCUAUUUGUUAAUCAACUCUGCCCUUCCUCUUCUGGUCUAUUCUCCGCCCUCCCCACACACACCUAUGUUUAAUUCUAGUAGUUUUACAUGGAUUUUUUUUUAAAAAAAAAUCAUAUUUUAUUUAUUUAUUAUUAAUUUUAGUUAUACAUGAAAAGUAGAGUAUAUUUUGACAAAUUUAUACAAUCAUGGAGUAUAUCUUAUUCUAAUUAAGAUCCCAGUCUUGUGGUUGUAUGUGAUGUGGAGAUUGAAUGUGGUGUAUUCAUAUAUGUACAUAGGAAAGUUAGGUCAGAUUUAUUCCACUUUCUUUCCUAUUCCUGCCCCUCUUCCCUUCAUUCCCCUUUGUCUAAUUCAUUGAAUUUCUAUUCUUCCCCUCCCCUUGUUAUGUGUUAGAAGCUACAACAUAUCAGAUAGAAGCUUCAACAUUUGGCUUUUGGGAUUGGCUUAUUUCACUUAAUAUAAUAGCCUCAGAUACACCCAUUUACUGGCAAAAGCUAUUCUUAACACAAAUUCAUAUGUUCAUUUAAUAUAUAUAGUAUUGAGCACAUACUAUGUGGCAGAAAAUGUUCGAAGUGUUUCCAGAGAAAAAUAUCUUCCCUCAUAGAGCUACAUUACAGAGAGGGAAAUAAAAUAUCCAUACUAAACAUAAUAAAAAAGGAAAUUAUAUAGGACAGCAGACAGAAAGUUAUUUGGAAAAAAAAUGAACUAGACAAAGAUAUUUGGAACACUGGGAAUUGUUAACAUAGAUUUAAUUGAGAAGGCAACAUUUGGACACAGAUUUAAAGGAGAAGAGAGAGUUAUGAAAGGUCAGUGGAGCUGGAUUGAAGAAUGAGGAAAGAGUAAGAGGAGAAAAAGUUAGAAAAAUCACAAAAACUAGAUUAUAUGGAGCCUUAAGGAACAUUCCAAAGAGGUUGGUUCCUACCUGAGGUGGGGAACCUUUGGUGAUUCUGAGAAGAAGAAUGAUAGAAUCUGAUUUAUGUGUUCAAGGGGGGCUGUGUUGAGAAGAGUUGGUAGGAGAAAAUACAGUUAGGAGUCAGACGCUAUUAUUUAGGUCAACGAUGGUGGCUUGAAUGAGUGUCAUAGUGAACAUGGUUAUGACAAGUAGAUAAGGUUGAGAGUAGAGCUGACCAAAGUUUUUAAACAGGUUAGAUGUGGGACUCAGAAGAGUGGAUUCAAAGAUUAUUUUCCAUCAAUACAAAUGAGGGAAAUGAGAUGGACAAGAUUGGAAGGAAGAUUCGGUGUUAAGUUUUAGAUAUAUUAAAUUUAAGAUGUGUGGUAGAUAUAUGAAGGUAUUUGCCAACAAGGUAGAUGUAUAAAUCUGGAAUUCUGAAGAGAGGUCUGGUCUGCAUAUUUAGACUGGGAAGUCACUGGCAUUUAGUGGGUAUUUGAAGCUACGAGGAUAGAUGAGAUCAUGUAAGGAGUGCAUGUAGGUUUCCCAAAAUUGAAAGGUUGGGGAGGAGACUUGAAGUUAGAAAGGAACAUGAGAAACAAUUUGUGAAGUAGAAAGAAAAGAAAGGGAGUGGAAAACUAUUGAAGAAAGUGUGUCAAGGAGGAGAAGAGAUCAACUGUGUCCAAUGCUGUUGAUAGGUCCAGCAAGCUAAGGACUAAGAAGUAGAUCCUAUGGGUCAUUAAUACCCCUUAAAAAAGUAAAAUGCUAUAUUCUUAAGUAUUAUGAAGGAAUUUUCAUUUUAAAGAAGAAUUUGAAAAAAAUAUGCUUUAAAUGUUAAAGAGAACACAUUAGCAGUGUAACUUCAGAAAAAAAUGUACCUAUUUGGAACCAAUAUAUAUUUAGACAUUUUAAAUAACAAUGCGAAGCACAAUAAUAUAGGUUACUUUACACAAUGAUUCUUUUUUAUUAUCUCAAAUUCUUUUUUUAAUAUUUUUUAGUUGUUGAUGGACUUUUAUUUUAUUUAUUUGUAUGUGGUGCUGAGAAUUGAACCCAGUGCCUCAUGCAUGCUAGGCAAGCACACUGUCACUGAGCCACAAUGCCAGCCUCUAUUGUCUCCAAUUCUUAAUAUGAAAAGAAGACUUCAGUAAAUUGACAACCUACACUUAGACGUAUACUUUAAGUCACUCUACCUCUGUCUCUAUUUAGCCCAUUAACUUACCCCUCUAUUUUUGCAUAUACUUUCAGUAUUUGUUAUCACAUAUAUCAGCAAAUAAACAUUCUGAUUUCUAAUUUCUUAUUGAAUGGAUAGAGUACUACAAACAUAUAAGUAUUCAUAUUUUGUUCCUUUAUUAAAUGAUAUAAUCUAAAGCUUUCCACAUAGGAAUAAAAAGACUGUCUUCUUUCUUUAUGGCUAAUGUUUCAUUGAAUAGAUGACAUUAUAGUAUAUUUAAACAGUUGUAUUUUGAUGACCAUUUGGAUAUUUUUUUGAACUUCAACAUCAGAUGAUUGUAUAACUGUACAUAUUUCACACGUUCAGCAUAUGUAUAGGACAAAUUCUCUGAUUGCCUACUUGGAAUUCUUUUAAUUUUAGAUGCGUUGUCAAAUUAACCUGUAGGGGUUGUACUAGUUUGUAAUAUCAGCAAAAUAUACAAAUACCUAUUACCUUAAGCCUUAAUGUAUCAUCAAACUUUUGGACUGUUGCCAUUAUGAUAGAUGAAAAAUGAUAUCUGUGAUGGUUGAGAUUGAGUGCUUUUGUAUUAUAUUUAAGGGUAAUUU
RNAcentral lists this long non-coding RNA (4101 nucleotides) under Marmota monax (woodchuck). The record is from RNAcentral. Lineage: Eukaryota; Metazoa; Chordata; Mammalia; Rodentia; Sciuridae.